This 217-nucleotide unclassified non-coding RNA is filed under the name Hevea brasiliensis (rubber tree). Lineage: Eukaryota; Viridiplantae; Streptophyta; Magnoliopsida; Malpighiales; Euphorbiaceae. The record is from RNAcentral.
AAAAAAAAAAAAAAAAAAGAUUCCUUGUGUACCAACAUAAGAAAACUAAUCAUAUUUUAGGAGUUGCAUUCUAUUUCCUUUUCUAGAGUAAGCCAAACAUGCCCUAAAUCUUUGGAGGUCCUAACCAUUUAGAGUUUGAAAUCAGUAUUAUAUUUUCACCAGUUUAUCUGUUUAUUAUGUGGUUUGCUGAUACUGAGUUUAACUUUUGUAUUGCAGG